AUUCGGCGUGGUUGUGGGCGGAAUUGUCGGAGAGGAGUUCGUGGGUUGAUGGUUUCAAGUUACAUGUAUCGGUCACCUGGUUUCUUGAACGGGGUGUUUUUAUUUGUUUUUUCCACGAUUUGAUGUUUUGUCGUAACUUGAGUCACUACCAGAAUAAAGAACCUCUCAACCCCUUACAGCGAGUCGUCAUCCCAUUCUUUUGUGUCGUCGGUGAUGAAAUUGUUAGCUGUUACUUUGACCAAAUAUUUGGUAAA
Molecule: long non-coding RNA, 254 nt
Organism: Gigantopelta aegis
Lineage: Eukaryota; Metazoa; Mollusca; Gastropoda; Neomphalida; Peltospiridae
Exons: 3
Source: RefSeq, a predicted model, not a curated record